UGAAACAAGAAAGUGGAGACAACGUUUUGACUCCUCUCUGAGCCUUUAUCAAGUUUUGAUAAAGGCUCAGAGAGGAGCCGAAACAUUGUCUCCAUUUCCUUGUUUC
This is a non-coding RNA of Pelobates cultripes (western spadefoot toad), 106 nucleotides long. The record is from the annotation of a GenBank genome assembly. NCBI's taxonomy places the organism in Eukaryota, Metazoa, Chordata, Amphibia, Anura, Pelobatidae.